GCACUGAUGAACCUGAUAGAUUUGAUUGCUUGAAGUGAUAGAAUUUGUACAUCCUCUAAGAAGUUCUGAGCAG
Molecule: small nucleolar RNA, 73 nt
Filed under: Salvator merianae (Argentine black and white tegu)
Lineage: Eukaryota; Metazoa; Chordata; Lepidosauria; Squamata; Teiidae
Description: Small nucleolar RNA SNORD61 (ENSSMRG00000008911.1)
Rfam family: Small nucleolar RNA SNORD61
About the family: U61 belongs to the C/D class of snoRNA which contain the C (UGAUGA) and D (CUGA) box motifs. Most of the members of the box C/D family function in directing site-specific 2'-O-methylation of substrate RNAs.
Source: RNAcentral